AGCGGCGGACGGGUGAGUAAUGCCUAGGAAUCUGCCUAGUGGUGGGGGACUAACGAUUCGGAAACGGACGCUAAUACCGCAUACGUCCUACGGGAGAAAGCGGGGGACCUUCGGGCCUCGCGCCAUUAGAUGAGCCUAGGUCGGAUUAGCUAGUUGGUGAGGUAACGGCUCACCAAGGCGACGAUCCGUAACUGGUCUGAGAGGAUGAUCAGUCACACUGGAACUGAGACACGGUCCAGACACCUACGGGAGGCAGCAGUGGGGAAUAUUGGACAAUGGGCGAAAGCCUGAUCCAGCCAUGCCGCGUGUGUGAAGAAGGUCUUCGGAUUGUAAAGCACUUUAAGUUGGGAGGAAGGGUAGUAACUUAAUACGUUGCUAUUUUGACGUUACCGACAGAAUAAGCACCGGCUAACUCUGUGCCAGCAGCCGCGGUAAUACAGAGGGUGCAAGCGUUAAUCGGAAUUACUGGGCGUAAAGCGCGCGUAGGUGGUUUGUUAAGUUGGAUGUGAAAGCCCCGGGCUCAACCUGGGAACUGCAUCCAAAACUGGCAAGCUAGAGUACGGUAGAGGGUGGUGGAAUUUCCUGUGUAGCGGUGAAAUGCGUAGAUAUAGGAAGGAACACCAGUGGCGAAGGCGACCACCUGGACUGAUACUGACACUGAGGUGCGAAAGCGUGGGGAGCAAACAGGAUUAGAUACCCUGGUAGUCCACGCCGUAAACGAUGUCAACUAGCCGUUGGGAGUCUUGAACUCUUAGUGGCGCAGCUAACGCAUUAAGUUGACCGCCUGGGGAGUACGGCCGCAAGGUUAAAACUCAAAUGAAUUGACGGGG
Molecule: ribosomal RNA, 830 nt
Filed under: uncultured bacterium
Lineage: Bacteria
Description: bacterial SSU rRNA
Rfam family: Bacterial small subunit ribosomal RNA
Source: RNAcentral